This 264-nucleotide unclassified non-coding RNA is filed under the name Hevea brasiliensis (rubber tree). The record is from RNAcentral. Lineage: Eukaryota; Viridiplantae; Streptophyta; Magnoliopsida; Malpighiales; Euphorbiaceae.
GAUUGUACACCAAUCACUCAAAAUGGUCCUUGCUAUAACCCUAACACUAUCAAAGAUCACUGCAAUUAUGCUGUAAAUAGUUAUUAUCAAAGAAAAGGUGCAGCUGGUGCUACCUGUGAUUUUACUGGAACUGCAACUACAAGCCCCAAUCCACCUACUACUACAAAUUCUGGGUGUGUCUAUCAAUCCAGUCCAAGCAACACUGGUGGAGGUACAACAACUCCGUCAACAGCACCACCGGGAACCACAACUCCAACAAUCGCA